GUCCACUUAGGCAGAACACAUACUAAAAUUGGAACUAUCCAGGCAAGAUCAGCAUGGCCUCUAUGCAAGGACGCCAUGCUAAAUUCAUGAAGCAAGCCUUCCAUAUUUAU
Molecule: small nuclear RNA, 110 nt
Organism: Gracilinanus agilis (Agile Gracile Mouse Opossum)
Lineage: Eukaryota; Metazoa; Chordata; Mammalia; Didelphimorphia; Didelphidae
Source: RefSeq, a predicted model, not a curated record